AAGGGAGACCUAAUUCGGGUAUGGGAUGAAAAAAAAGUAGUCCCUACCAAGAAUCAAUCCCAAAAGGUCGGAGCGAGGCAAAAUUGGCUUUCAAACUAGGUUCUGGGUUCACACAAGGCCUGAAUCAGGAACAAGGGCUAUUAGCUCAGGUGGUUAGAGCGCACCCCUGAUAAGGGUGAGGUCCCUGGUUCGAGUCCAGGAUGGCCCACCUGCACAGGUGGCAAAAACAAAGAAAAGAAGCUCCGAAUCAGCACCUUAUCUUACUUAUAUAGUAAGAGAGAAUGCUGGCUCUGAGUUCAGAGUCCAGAGGAACCUUGAAAACUGCAUAGAGCUAGGUGAAAAAGCCAAAAAAGAAGACCGCCA
RNAcentral lists this transfer RNA (363 nucleotides) under Microcystis sp. BrG02. RNAcentral's name for it is "16S-23S ribosomal RNA intergenic spacer". The stretch from base 135 to 208 matches the Rfam family "tRNA". The record is from RNAcentral. Lineage: Bacteria; Bacillati; Cyanobacteriota; Cyanophyceae; Chroococcales; Microcystaceae.